The submitters of this non-coding RNA (75 nucleotides) gave its source as unclassified sequences. The record is from Rfam.
GUAAUUAAUUGCAUGGAUGCAAUUAAAGGCGUGACUUCGCCAUGGACGGCGAAUACACGGCGGUUACGUUCAUAU